This 429-nucleotide ribosomal RNA is filed under the name Gemmatimonadota bacterium. Its description in RNAcentral is "Gemmatimonadetes bacterium partial 16S ribosomal RNA". It matches the Rfam family "Bacterial small subunit ribosomal RNA", at positions 355 to 776 of the family's 1533-position model. The record is from RNAcentral. Lineage: Bacteria; Pseudomonadati; Gemmatimonadota.
UAGGGAAUCUUCGGCAAUGGACGAAAGUCUGACCGAGCAACGCCGCGUGAGUGAAGAAGGUUUUCGGAUCGUAAAACUCUGUUGUUAGAGAAGAACAAGGACGUUAGUAACUGAACGUCCCCUGACGGUAUCUAACCAGAAAGCCACGGCUAACUACGUGCCAGCAGCCGCGGUAAUACGUAGGUGGCAAGCGUUGUCCGGAUUUAUUGGGCGUAAAGCGAGCGCAGGCGGUUUCUUAAGUCUGAUGUGAAAGCCCCCGGCUCAACCGGGGAGGGUCAUUGGAAACUGGGAGACUUGAGUGCAGAAGAGGAGGGUGGAAUUCCAUGUGUAGCGGUGAAAUGCGUAGAUAUAUGGAGGAACACCAGUGGCGAAGGCGGCUCUCUGGUCUGUAACUGACGCUGAGGCUCGAAAGCGUGGGGAGCGAACAGG